GGACUACCGGGGUAUCUAAUCCCAUUCGCUACCCACGCUUUUGUGUUUCAGUGUCAGGAGUGCGCCAAUGUGCUGCCUUCGCUUUUGGUAUUCCCCAUAAUAUCAACGGAUUUUACCCCUACACUAUGAGUUCUACACAUCUCUCGCAUCCUCUAGUUUUACCGUUUCCCAUGCAUGUUCCCAGUUGAGCCGGGAGCUUUAACACAAGACUAAUAAAACCACCUACACACCCUUUACGCCCAAUAAUUCCGGAUAACGCUUGGGGCACUCGUAUUACCGCGGCGGCUGGCA
This 291-nucleotide ribosomal RNA is filed under the name uncultured bacterium. RNAcentral describes it as "partial 16S ribosomal RNA". The record is from RNAcentral.